Molecule: transfer RNA, 75 nt
Filed under: Actinomycetes bacterium
Lineage: Bacteria; Bacillati; Actinomycetota; Actinomycetes
Also listed under: 3 other names
Description: tRNA-Thr
Rfam family: tRNA
About the family: Transfer RNA (tRNA) molecules are approximately 80 nucleotides in length.
Source: RNAcentral
GCCUCCUUAGCUCAGCGGUAGAGCACCUCCAUGGUAAGGAGGGGGUCCCGGGUUCAAUUCCCGGAGGAGGCUCCA